Molecule: ribosomal RNA, 199 nt
Filed under: uncultured bacterium
Lineage: Bacteria
Description: partial 16S ribosomal RNA
Rfam family: Bacterial small subunit ribosomal RNA
Source: RNAcentral
UAGUCUGCAACUCACUACAUGAAGCUGGAAUCGCUAGUAAUCGCGAAUCAGAAUGUCGCGGUGAAUACGUUCCCGGGUCUUGUACACACCGCCCGUCACACCAUGGGAGUUGGAAAUGCCCGAAGUCAGUGACCCAACCGAAAGGAGGGAGCUGCCGAAGGUGGAGCCGAUGACUGGGGUGAAGUCGUAACAAGGUAUC